UACGUAGGUUGCAAGCGUUGUCCGGAAUUAUUGGGCGUAAGGAGCGUGUAGGCGGCCAGGUAGGUCUGCUGUGAAAACUCGAGGCUCAACCUCGAGACGUCGGCGGAAACCAUCUGGCUAGAGUCCGGAAGAGGAGAGUGGAAUUCCUGGUGUAGCGGUGAAAUGCGCAGAUAUCAGGAAGAACACCCGUGGCGAAGGCGGCUCUCUGGGACGGUACUGACGCUGAGACGCGAAAGCGUGGGGAGCGAACAGG
This 253-nucleotide ribosomal RNA is filed under the name uncultured bacterium. RNAcentral's name for it is "partial 16S ribosomal RNA". It matches the Rfam family "Bacterial small subunit ribosomal RNA", at positions 524 to 776 of the family's 1533-position model. The record is from RNAcentral.